This 326-nucleotide small nuclear RNA is filed under the name Erinaceus europaeus (western European hedgehog). RNAcentral describes it as "7SK RNA". It matches the Rfam family "7SK RNA". From Rfam's summary of the family: 7SK was discovered as an abundant small nuclear RNA in the mid-70s but a possible function has only recently been suggested. Two independent studies have found that 7SK RNA binds the CDK9/cyclin T complex (known as elongation factor P-TEFb). P-TEFb activates transcription by phosphorylating the C-terminal domain of RNA polymerase II. Lineage: Eukaryota; Metazoa; Chordata; Mammalia; Eulipotyphla; Erinaceidae. The record is from Rfam by way of RNAcentral.
GCACAUGAAAGCAAUCUGAAUGUGGCACCUGUAACCCCAUUAGUCACCAGGAUUAAUCUGGCUGAUCGGCUGCCUGUUUGGGCACCUCUUCUCCUCACCACUCCACGUACACGCCACGCACACCCCACGCACACCCCACGUACACUCCACGUACACUCCACGUACACCCCACGUACACCCCUCCUGAAGCAACCUUACCAAAUAGGGGUGAGCCAUCUCUCAGUCCAGGGCAUACAGGUAGCUGUGUACCUGUUCAAACACCCGAACUAUGGGGAAAAAAAAAAAAAAAGCAAUUCAUCAGUAUUAUGGAUAAUAUGCUUCUCAUU